GGGUGCGUAACACGUGAGCAAUCUGCCGAUCUCUGGGGGAUAGCCGGCCCAACGGCCGGGUAAUACCGCAUACGAUCACCGAGGGGAGUCCCUUGGUGAUGAAACCUCCGGGGGAGAUCGAGGAGCUCGCGCCCUAUCAGCUAGUUGGUGAGGUAAUGGCUCACCAAGGCUACGACGGGUAGCUGGUCUGAGAGGAUGGCCAGCCACAUUGGGACUGCGACACGGCCCAGACUCCUACGGGAGGCAGCAGUGGGGAAUAUUGCGCAAUGGACGAAAGUCUGACGCAGCGACGCCGCGUGUGGGAUGAAGCCUUUCGGGGUGUAAACCACUGUUGCCCGGGACGAAACUCCUUUUUCGAGAGGAUUGACGGUACCGGGUGAGGAAGCACCGGCUAACUCUGUGCCAGCAGCCGCGGUAAUACAGAGGGUGCGAGCGUUGUCCGGAAUCACUGGGCGUAAAGGGCGCGUAGGUGGCGGGAUAAGUGUGUGGUGAAAGCUCGGGGCUCAACCCCGAGUCUGCCAUGCAGACUGUCUUGCUCGAGCAUAGUAGAGGCAGGUGGAAUUCCGGGUGUAGCGGUGGAAUGCGUAGAGAUCCGGAAGAACACCGGUGGCGAAGGCGGCCUGCUGGGCUAUUGCUGACACUGAGGCGCGACAGC
Molecule: ribosomal RNA, 655 nt
Filed under: uncultured Gemmatimonas sp.
Lineage: Bacteria; Pseudomonadati; Gemmatimonadota; Gemmatimonadia; Gemmatimonadales; Gemmatimonadaceae
Description: bacterial SSU rRNA
Rfam family: Bacterial small subunit ribosomal RNA
Source: RNAcentral